UGUCUAUCAAGGGCUGCACUUUGGAAAGUAGAUUUCUCUUUCCUUUCUAGCUAGGAUACAGGGAUCACUGAACUGGACUUUAAUGCAACUGAGAAUCCAUUCGUGGAAUGUAUAAAAUACAGUGAGAAAAGUGAUUGUAAAAAUGAUCCCAUGUUACUUCAACUGCUUAUCCCAGAUCCAGGGGCUCAGUGUAAGAGUCCAAGGUGCCCAAGGCCAAAAAGAGAAGUGAAAAUGGAUGCAUAUGGACCAAGGACGCAUGUGGAUAAAUCCCAAGUGUCCCAUACCAAGAGUGUUCAAUGGCAGGUGUAGAGUAGUCCGGACCCCACAGGAUCAGGGCCUUGACCUGGACUCCAUUAAGACAGAAUAAAUAGAAAUGAGGCUAGUCCAACAAACUCUUUUGCCUGUGAGUAACUUUAUGCAGAUGAACAGUCUUGUUGAGUUCACCUAACUAAAGUUACUCAUCAUGUGUGUAGGAUCAGACCCUGUAACUGUAUAUAAAGUUCAAUAAAA
Mauremys reevesii (Reeves's turtle) is the source of this 510-nucleotide long non-coding RNA. RefSeq lists it as uncharacterized. The transcript has 3 exons. NCBI's taxonomy places the organism in Eukaryota, Metazoa, Chordata, Testudines, Geoemydidae. The record is from RefSeq and is a predicted model, not a curated record.